AGACAGUGGUCCAGAGCGGAGAAUGAGAACAAAGUAAUGCAAAAAGGCUUCAAAAUGGCUACAGACAACACAAAUUCGAAGAAAAGAGGUACAAUGACCACAAAGAGACAGAUCAAAACAACCUGAAUGUUUUUUUUCUUUUUACAUUUCAAGGUACAGGUCAAUAGAGGCUUGUUAGAAUGAAGGUAACAAUUUCUGUCCCAGGCUGCAACAAACUGUGAAACUGAACACAAAGCAGAAACUAAAUAUUGUCCAGAACCACUGAGAAACACUGAGGAACAAUAUUACAGACUGGCUACAGAUUUAAAAGGUGGAAUAACUGACAUUGGUUACAACAGUUGCUCUGUAGCAGCCAGCUCCAGUGGCACCAAGCUCCAAAAUAUAAUAAAAAGAAGGAAAUUCAGAGUCACUGAAAUAUCAAGAGAGGUUAAGUAACUAACUCUGAAAUGUCAAGAAAGGUUGAGAUCUACCCACUCCCAGCGCCAAAAGAGAGGAUCUAAUGCGAGAUUCUCCCCAUGGUUGUAAGAUGCACAGUUUUAAUGAAUCAUUUAAAAAUCAAUCAAUAUAAUGUGAAGCAUUAUGAUCAAUGUACUAUGUGUGUGUGUGGAUGAAAUGCAUAUAAAAUCAUAUGACACUGUGAUUGAGCAAGGAUGGAAAGAUUGUGACAUGACUGGAAAGUACCAGAGAGCCUGUCCGGUCUUAGAAAAGGGGAAGUUCAAUAGCACACUGAAAGAUUGGUAUGAGAGUAUGAAAGUCAUGAUUUGUGAAUUAAACAGUUCAUUGUAAUUCAAAGUGUGAAAGUUAAAGAAUAACUGUACCAAUAAUAUUACUAAAAGUGAUGAUUAAUAGUAUCAAAGGUAACUAAGAAUAAGAAUGAUUGAAAGAAGCGGUAUGUAGGAUGGGUGCAAUCACUAUUGGUAAAGAGAGAAGACAAGAAGGAUUGCAACACAGCAUUGCCGGAGCUAGCAUUUUCAAAAGUAGUUUGGUGAAGGAAGUCAGAGAGGGAGGGGGGAGAGCUGGCCAAAACCAGAUAAAAGGUGAUGUACCAGACAACUUAUUCGGACUCUUCGCUGACCAUCGGUGGAUCAUCACCUAAAGAAGACCCCUCCUCGGCCAUCAUCAAGAGAACUGGAUUCUGCGAACUUUUAUUCACUAGAACGAAGGAAUCUUGGAGACUAUUUGCUGCUAAGAGGACUCGAGGCAAGAGGAGUUCUACAAGGAUUGUUAUUUUCUCCCUCUGCAGUAGAGGAUUUGGCCAUAGUUCGCCAGGCCAAAAAGAGGAACUGUGAUUCGGGCGGGGGUCCUCCGGGACUUUGUACGGGGUCAGGAGGCUCGCCCCUCACGGGACUGGCCUGAAUCGGUCAGCUAAGGCCAAGCUGCCAACCCCUCCAUCUCUCUUUCCACAUUAUUCACCUAUCUCAGUGACCGGUUGCAGAACUUAAUACAGGAAUCAGCCUACCACCGGGACAGACAGCAGGACACCGGAAACUGUAGUUUGCACUGACUCCACAAGAUGGCGCCCGUGAAGAUUUAAACAGUUCACUGAAUAAUGAGAACAGACAGCAGUGACAUUAACAGCAGUGAUGGGGGACGUUGCUCGGCAGGAGAAACACAUUGAGGUUUUGCUUCUGUGUUUUGGGGUUUGGUGGUCGGAGGAACAAGAAAACAUGGCCGCUAACUGGUUUCAUGUAGUUCCAUAACCUCCCCAACAUCUCCGAAACCCAGACGAGGCCG
This is a long non-coding RNA of Lates calcarifer (barramundi perch), 1734 nucleotides long. RefSeq lists it as uncharacterized. The transcript is spliced from 3 exons. Lineage: Eukaryota; Metazoa; Chordata; Actinopteri; Centropomidae. The record is from RefSeq and is a predicted model, not a curated record.